RNAcentral lists this transfer-messenger RNA (376 nucleotides) under marine eukaryotic metagenome. It matches the Rfam family "transfer-messenger RNA". Rfam says of the family: Bacterial tmRNA, also known as 10Sa RNA or SsrA, is named for its dual tRNA and mRNA-like properties. Its role is to liberate the mRNA from a stalled ribosome. The record is from RNAcentral.
GGGGCUGACUGGAAUUGACAGGAAGCUUUGUGGAUAUACUCGCAUGUCGAGCAUGGUGUAUUGGCUCGUUAAUCUCAGUACAUGACUUUUCUUUUUUACAUGGCGAGACUAACUACGCCAUGGCCGCCUAAGACAAGGUCUAGGUAGCCAUAGUUCCCCAGGGGUGUUGUCUGAUGCACGUCUGGUGUGAACUUCGAUCUCAUCGGACUGUCUGGUAGCGCGUUGACCGCUAUCAGCGAGGAAGACCGUCAACUACGGUCGCGGUAGGCGGGCUCACCUGGCCAGCCGCUGACCCGACAAGCAACAGGUGGCUACACAUGUAGACGGUGUAUCGACAACUUGACUGGACCCGGGUUCGAAUCCCGGCAGCUCCACU